UACGUAGGGUGCUAGCGUUGUCCGGAAUCAUUGGGCGUAAAGCGCGUGUAGGCGGUCCGGUAAGUCUGCUGUGAAAGUCGAGGGCUCAACCCUCGAAUGCCGGUGGAUACUGUCGGGCUAGAGUACGGAAGAGGCGAGUGGAAUUCCUGGUGUAGCGGUGAAAUGCGCAGAUAUCAGGAGGAACACCAAUUGCGAAGGCAGCUCGCUGGGACGUUACUGACGCUGAGACGCGAAAGCGUGGGGAGCGAACAGG
Molecule: ribosomal RNA, 253 nt
Filed under: uncultured bacterium
Lineage: Bacteria
Description: partial 16S ribosomal RNA
Rfam family: Bacterial small subunit ribosomal RNA
Source: RNAcentral